CCUACGGGAGGCAGCAGUGGGGAAUUUUCCGCAAUGGGCGAAAGCCUGACGGAGCAACGCCGCGUGAGGGAUGAAGGCCUCUGGGCUGUAAACCUCUUUUAUCAAGGAAGAAGAUCUGACGGUACUUGAUGAAUAAGCCACGGCUAAUUCCGUGCCAGCAGCCGCGGUAAUACGGGAGUGGCAAGCGUUAUCCGGAAUUAUUGGGCGUAAAGCGUCCGCAGGCGGUCUUGUAAGUCUGUCGUUAAAGCGUGGAGCUCAACUCCAUUUCGGCGGUGGAAACUACAAGACUAGAGUGUGGUAGGGGCAGAGGGAAUUCCCGGUGUAGCGGUGAAAUGCGUAGAUAUCGGGAAGAACACCAGUGGCGAAGGCGCUCUGCUGGGCCAUAACUGACGCUCAUGGACGAAAGCUAGGGGAGCGAAAGGGAUUAGAUACCCCUGUAGUCCUAGCCGUAAACGAUGAACACUAGGUGUCGGGGGAAUCGACCCCCUCGGUGUCGUAGCUAACGCGUUAAGUGUUCCGCCUGGGGAGUACGCACGCAAGUGUGAAACUCAAAGGAAUUGACGGCNGAGACGNGCCGACGGACGACGACGAGGGAGGAGG
RNAcentral lists this ribosomal RNA (600 nucleotides) under uncultured bacterium. RNAcentral's name for it is "bacterial SSU rRNA". It matches the Rfam family "Bacterial small subunit ribosomal RNA", at positions 338 to 951 of the family's 1533-position model. The record is from RNAcentral.